Long non-coding RNA from Brassica oleracea var. oleracea, 1036 nucleotides. RefSeq lists it as uncharacterized. The transcript is spliced from 6 exons. NCBI's taxonomy places the organism in Eukaryota, Viridiplantae, Streptophyta, Magnoliopsida, Brassicales, Brassicaceae. The record is from RefSeq and is a predicted model, not a curated record.
AGACUCAUGGAUCUUACUAAAUGCUAACUCCAGUAUGUAGAAGUUUUCUUUCUUGGACGUCUACACAUCCUUUAAUAUCGGCUAGUAAUUUUAGUUAGCAGUUGAAGCUUGAAAUCUUGGGUUGAAACGGGUGCUAUGCUCGUCUUCACCCAAGGGCAGUUUACUGCAGAAAGAAGAAGUGUGGUCACACAUACCAACCAGUUGAGGCCGAAGAAGAAGAUCAAGUAAUUGAUGGAACCCUCAUGUAAGAGAAAAACAGAGCAGAGAAGCUGCAUCUCAGCUCGAUCUAGAAGAAGCUCUUCAAGCUUCCAGAAACGCUAGUCAAUCAUACUCUACUCAUCGCAGAGAGUGGCCACCUUUGUUAGAGGUGGGUGAUACUGGGGAAUUUCCUUCUGUAUGUAAUACAGCAGGCGGUGAAGGCACGGCUUUGGAUUUUUUUCCAAAGAUUCGACGGGUUUGGGCAUCCGUGGACAAUUCUCUGUUUCUGUGGCGUUUCAACAAAAGCUAUUCAGGACAGGGUCUUCAUCUUCCUGAUGUACUCGUAGAAGUCGAAAAGUGUGGAUCCUAUUUUGACGAGUUGCUAGCAGUUCCUGAACACGAUGAUUGGAUAUAUAGCGAUGGGAAAUCAACUUCUUGUAUCACUUUCAUCCUCGAAAUGUACAAAGAAGGUGGCUUGUUUGAUCCAAUCUCUAGUUCCAUCCAAGUUGCUGAAUUCACGAUCAAGGAUGCUUACAUGCUCAAGUUUUUUUAGAACAAUGCAAGCUGUUUGCCUAAAUGGUGUAACGACAACAAUGAUGUAAAGCUACCGCACUGUCAAAUCCUUGGGAAAUACAGAAUGGAGCUUCCCGGUUACAACACUAUGGAGCCACACCCGCAUACGAACGAGCACUGCUCGUCUCUGCGUGACUGCGUCCAAAGUACCAUAGACCAAAGAACUGCUAGAACAAAUAUAUUAAGUGUUGUCUGUUUGUUAGGAAUGACUUGGUGUAAUGAUCCACGAAUAUUUAGGGAAUAUUUAGAUUUGGCAGAACAUACA